GGAGUAGGUAUAGCUCAGUGGUUGAGCGCAUGCUUCACAUGUAUGAGAUCCUGGGUUCAAUCCCCGGUACCUCCU
Molecule: transfer RNA, 75 nt
Filed under: Dasypus novemcinctus (nine-banded armadillo)
Lineage: Eukaryota; Metazoa; Chordata; Mammalia; Cingulata; Dasypodidae
Description: tRNA-Val (CAC) (tRNA-Val-CAC-7-1)
Rfam family: tRNA
About the family: Transfer RNA (tRNA) molecules are approximately 80 nucleotides in length. Their secondary structure includes four short double-helical elements and three loops (D, anti-codon, and T loops).
Source: RNAcentral